ACUAGCUAAGACCAAAUUCUCACAUGUCCCUUUCGUUAUUACAACCUUCUUUUUUGAUGUCACAGACCAGAAGCUACGCGCAAAUUCUUUAUAUCCAAAACUUCCGUUUAUCAAAGAAUAUUACAACCAAAGCCACAACUAGACUAAGCUCAGCAAAACCGGGAAAUAUGGUUACUCGAAAUCUGUUCCUUGGAAUGAAAUGCUUCCGGAAUCCAAGUGUGUACAUAAGGCUGGUCUGCAUUUUAGUAGAAGAAAGAUGGUUAAAACUCAAACAUAUGACAAACAGGAAACAAAAACACAUGAAAGUUACGUGAAAGCUAACGCUGCAAAUGACUCAAUAGUACAAAAACCAGAAUUGAGAAGGCAGCAAGAAACUGUAUAGUCUAAGGAUCUGUCCAAACCUACACUUUCAAGCACAACUCAUGUAAAUAUAGAUCUACCAGGGAACAGCAUUUACCUGACAAAAUGUCACAAUGCGACCAAUGACUAGAUGCUAUACCACAUUGUAUGGGAAAUAGUCGAGCCAAAUGUUAAUCUAGGGUUGACAGAGUGUUUUUACUGCCAACUCUAAUGCCUAACACAGUUCUAUAGUGCAAUUUAAAAUCCAAGGAUUCAAUGAGAAACAAGUAUAUUAUACAACCAAAAAAUUGCCCCCUGGGGUAAAAUAAAAACGAAGAAGUAUCAUGCUAUGUGUGUGUGUGUGUAUAUGGCCCUAGGGUGAACCUUGAUUGUUUCUUUGACAAUGCAAGAUAUGAAGUAUGAUGCACGAUGUGAAACCAUUUGAGCUUUUCCCUGAUAAAUUCUGGAAAAGAUAAAUAUUUGUGUAGGACAAACGAGCGAUGUCUUGGGGGUUUGGGGGUAGGAUGGAAAGUCAGUAAAAGUCUUUUUUUCUCCUCCUAUAAACAUAUUCUUCAUAACUACAGAAAACACAUUGAAUAGCCAUAUCCUGUGUGGAAGAUUCCUAAUAGAGCUUAUGUUGGUUUUAGCAGAAGACGUGUAAACUAAUUCAUCUCCAGCCCAUUUAAGGC
Molecule: long non-coding RNA, 1028 nt
Filed under: Nicotiana benthamiana
Lineage: Eukaryota; Viridiplantae; Streptophyta; Magnoliopsida; Solanales; Solanaceae
Description: long non-coding RNA (NBEN_LNC002620)
Source: RNAcentral